Molecule: ribosomal RNA, 995 nt
Filed under: Staphylococcus aureus
Lineage: Bacteria; Bacillati; Bacillota; Bacilli; Caryophanales; Staphylococcaceae
Description: bacterial SSU rRNA
Rfam family: Bacterial small subunit ribosomal RNA
Source: RNAcentral
UUUAUGGAGAGUUUGAUCCUGGCUCAGGAUGAACGCUGGCGGCGUGCCUAAUACAUGCAAGUCGAGCGAACGGACGAGAAGCUUGCUUCUCUGAUGUUAGCGGCGGACGGGUGAGUAACACGUGGAUAACCUACCUAUAAGACUGGGAUAACUUCGGGAAACCGGAGCUAAUACCGGAUAAUAUUUUGAACCGCAUGGUUCAAAAGUGAAAGACGGUCUUGCUGUCACUUAUAGAUGGAUCCGCGCUGCAUUAGCUAGUUGGUAAGGUAACGGCUUACCAAGGCAACGAUGCAUAGCCGACCUGAGAGGGUGAUCGGCCACACUGGAACUGAGACACGGUCCAGACUCCUACGGGAGGCAGCAGUAGGGAAUCUUCCGCAAUGGGCGAAAGCCUGACGGAGCAACGCCGCGUGAGUGAUGAAGGUCUUCGGAUCGUAAAACUCUGUUAUUAGGGAAGAACAUAUGUGUAAGUAACUGUGCACAUCUUGACGGUACCUAAUCAGAAAGCCACGGCUAACUACGUGCCAGCAGCCGCGGUAAUACGUAGGUGGCAAGCGUUAUCCGGAAUUAUUGGGCGUAAAGCGCGCGUAGGCGGUUUUUUAAGUCUGAUGUGAAAGCCCACGGCUCAACCGUGGAGGGUCAUUGGAAACUGGAAAACUUGAGUGCAGAAGAGGAAAGUGGAAUUCCAUGUGUAGCGGUGAAAUGCGCAGAGAUAUGGAGGAACACCAGUGGCGAAGGCGACUUUCUGGUCUGUAACUGACGCUGAUGUGCGAAAGCGUGGGGAUCAAACAGGAUUAGAUACCCUGGUAGUCCACGCCGUAAACGAUGAGUGCUAAGUGUUAGGGGGUUUCCGCCCCUUAGUGCUGCAGCUAACGCAUUAAGCACUCCGCCUGGGGAGUACGACCGCAAGGUUGAAACUCAAAGGAAUUGACGGGGACCCGCACAAGCGGUGGAGCAUGUGGUUUAAUUCGAAGCAACGCGAAGAACCUUACCAA